This 253-nucleotide ribosomal RNA is filed under the name uncultured bacterium. Its description in RNAcentral is "partial 16S ribosomal RNA". It matches the Rfam family "Bacterial small subunit ribosomal RNA", at positions 524 to 776 of the family's 1533-position model. The record is from RNAcentral.
UACAGAGGGUGCAAACGUUGCUCGGAAUUAUUGGGCGUAAAGCGCGUGCAGGCGGCCCGCUAAGUUGACUGUGAAAGCCCUUGGCUCAACCAAGGAAGUGCAGUCAAAACUGGCAGGCUUGAGUCCCGAAGAGGGUGGCGGAAUGCCCAGUGUAGAGGUGAAAUUCGUAGAUAUUGGGUAGAACACCAGUGGCGAAGGCGGCAUCCUGGACCAACACUGACGCUGAGGAGCGAAAGCCAGGGGAGCAAACGGG